AGUGAACGCUGGCGGUAGGCCUAACACAUGCAAGUCGAACGGCAGCACAGUAAGAGCUUGCUCUUACGGGUGGCGAGUGGCGGACGGGUGAGGAAUACAUCGGAAUCUACUUUUUCGUGGGGGAUAACGUAGGGAAACUUACGCUAAUACCGCAUACGACCUACGGGUGAAAGCAGGGGAUCUUCGGACCUUGCGCGAUUGAAUGAGCCGAUGUCGGAUUAGCUAGUUGGCGGGGUAAAGGCCCACCAAGGCGACGAUCCGUAGCUGGUCUGAGAGGAUGAUCAGCCACACUGAACUGAGACACGGUCCAGACUCCUACGGGAGGCAGCAGUGGGGAAUAUUGGACAAUGGGCGCAAGCCUGAUCCAGCCAUACCGCGUGGGUGAAGAGGGCCUUCGGGUUGUAAAGCCCUUUUGUUGGGAAAGAAAAGCAGCAGGUUAAUACCCCGCUGUUCUGACGGUACCCAAAGAAUAAGCACCGGCUAACUUCGUG
This 491-nucleotide ribosomal RNA is filed under the name uncultured bacterium. Its description in RNAcentral is "partial 16S ribosomal RNA". It matches the Rfam family "Bacterial small subunit ribosomal RNA", at positions 29 to 507 of the family's 1533-position model. The record is from RNAcentral.